AUACGUAGGGAGCGAGCGUUGUCCGGAAUUACUGGGUGUAAAGGGAGCGUAGGCGGGAGUGCAAGUCAGAUGUGAAAUACAUGGGCUCAACCCAUGGGCUGCAUUUGAAAAUGCAUUUCUUGAGUGAAGUAGAGGUAAGCGGAAUUCCUGGUGUAGCGGUGAAAUGCGUAGAUAUCAGGAGGAACACCGGUGGCGAAGGCGGCUUACUGGGCUUUUACUGACGCUGAGGCUCGAAAGCGUGGGGAGCAAACAGGAUUAGAUACCCUGGUAGUCCACGCUGUAAACGAUGAUUACUAGGUGUGGGGGGACUGACCCCUUCCGUGCCGCAGUUAACACAAUAAGUAAUCCACCUGGGGAGUACGGCCGCAAGGUUGAAACUCAAAUGAAUUGACGGGG
RNAcentral lists this ribosomal RNA (396 nucleotides) under uncultured bacterium. Its description in RNAcentral is "partial 16S ribosomal RNA". It matches the Rfam family "Bacterial small subunit ribosomal RNA", at positions 523 to 918 of the family's 1533-position model. The record is from RNAcentral.